Molecule: ribosomal RNA, 414 nt
Filed under: Escherichia coli
Lineage: Bacteria; Pseudomonadati; Pseudomonadota; Gammaproteobacteria; Enterobacterales; Enterobacteriaceae
Description: bacterial SSU rRNA
Rfam family: Bacterial small subunit ribosomal RNA
Source: RNAcentral
GUACGGCCGCAAGGUUAAAACUCAAAUGAAUUGACGGGGGCCCGCACAAGCGGUGGAGCAUGUGGUUUAAUUCGAUGCAACGCGAAGAACCUUACCUGGUCUUGACAUCCACGGAAGUUUUCAGAGAUGAGAAUGUGCCUUCGGGAACCGUGAGACAGGUGCUGCAUGGCUGUCGUCAGCUCGUGUUGUGAAAUGUUGGGUUAAGUCCCGCAACGAGCGCAACCCUUAUCCUUUGUUGCCAGCGGUCCGGCCGGGAACUCAAAGGAGACUGCCAGUGAUAAACUGGAGGAAGGUGGGGAUGACGUCAAGUCAUCAUGGCCCUUACGACCAGGGCUACACACGUGCUACAAUGGCGCAUACAAAGAGAAGCGACCUCGCGAGAGCAAGCGGACCUCAUAAAGUGCGUCGUAGUCC